Molecule: long non-coding RNA, 2755 nt
Filed under: Homo sapiens (human)
Lineage: Eukaryota; Metazoa; Chordata; Mammalia; Primates; Hominidae
Description: PREDICTED lncRNA (TCONS_00205394)
Source: RNAcentral
ACUGCAGCAUCAUUCAAUACACCCAUGUGACAAACCUGCUUAUGUACCUCCUGAAUCUAAAAUAAAAGUUGAAAUUAUUUUUAAAAGAAGAAUAAAAAUAAUAAAGAGUUCGGAAAUAAACCUGUGCAUUUAUAGUGAAUUGAUCAAUGGACUUUAAUCUUUUACUGGGUAUAUGCAGCAUUAUUCCUCAUACAUUUUACUUAGUAACUUCUAAAUUAAAAUUUGCUUUCAUAUAUGUUGUGCUUACCAGGGAGACACAGCACUAUCCAUAAGAAUCCAAUGUCUGAUUCCCAUUGCAUUCAGAGUUCUCAGUGCCAUCUUCACUGUAAUGUAUAUUCAGAUAUAUUCUGAAUAAAAGGAAGGGGCAUGUUGGCAAGAAGAUUCUGACUGCAUAUCAGGAUUAGACUCAGGCUCUUUGAACUUUUUGUUUCUGUAUCUUUCAAUUGUGUGGCUUUGGGAAAAUUUACUUGAUCUCUGUGCUUGAAUUUUCUCAUCUGAAAAGUGUUAAUAAGAAUACUAAUGAAAUUUCAGAGAUAAUAAACCUAAAAGGCAUUGGAGUAUGUACUUGUUAAAUAUUAGUUGUUGCUGCUAUCUGGAUCUUAAGAUAUGUGAGUCACAAAAGAGUAAGGAGUGUCCACCUGAGAAGGAUGAAGAAGUGGUAACCUCAGGAAUAAGUUGAAUUCAGUUAUGCCAAAUGGGGAAAAUGAAUAUUGAGGAAUAAAUGAGUUAAUUAUCAUAGAAUUGGGGUUUCUGAUAGCACAAUAAAUGAGUGCUGCUUCAAUAAAGAAGUGAGCAAUAAAAGAAAGCAUGAAUCUAAAAUUUUUACAUAACAGGAUGGUUGUGUUGAAAAGACCAGAUAAUUAGAUUGGCCUAUAAUUUAGAUUAUGGACAAAAUUAUGAAGACGGGAAAGUCAGUUAGCUUAUAUGGCCACUAGAAUGAGUUUAGACCUCUCAAGUGUCAAUUAUGUUCAGAUGAAUUGUACCUUCUCUCAAGUGCUACACUCUCUUGGAUGGGAGAUAACUUUGUCCCCUGGUGAAAGCUUGCAUUGGUUGCUCAGGCACUGGGAAGCUGUUUUUGUUUGGAGUGUGCUUAUAUGCGUCCUGUAGGAGGACAGCUGAAAACCUGGUCUCCACCUGCUAAUCUGGUGGGCAGACGCCACAGUGCAGAGAAACCUGGUAUGCAGAAGAUGAAGACAUAGCACAACGUAAGUCAUGUCCUAUAGAUCUAUAUCACCUGUAAGGCAUAAUAUCCCAGCAUGUGCCUCUGAACUCACAUUCUGAAGGUGCAGCAAACAUGGAUGGGAUCUCUAGAGGAGUGGGCACCCGGAAUAUAUGCUUCUUGACCAUGCAGGCAAGAGUGGAAAAUUGUUAGUAUUUAGAUUUAUGUAUAUGGUAAUAUGAUUUAAACAUGUUUUGUUCACAUAUUUCUAUCUAAUGAAGUUAUCUUCCUGUCCUAAUGAGGUGGGUAACAAUGUGUCUCACUGUCACUGUUUUGGAGAUUUUGCUGAACUUGGUGAACUUGCUCUACUCUGGCCUGGACAGAAAAGAAAAGAAAAGCUUACACUUCUUGGUUUCCUUGUUCUGCCUUCCUAUUGUGAUGGGAAAAGACAACAUAGAGUAGAAAUUAACAAAGGAAUCUCUGGAGUGAGGCAUUCUGAAAUUUUACUGAAGCUCUAAAACUUAACAGCUAUGGAAAUGGUAUAUGAUACAUCAGCAAAAUGCCGCUGUGCAGGAACAGCAUCCCUUGAGUGAUUGUGGUCUUCCUUGUAACUUCACUACUUAUUCUACUACUGAACCAAGCAUAAUUAAAGAUGAAAACAAGUGAACAGUAUUAUGAUAAAGGAAAGAGCCGAGGUCAGAAUGAGAAACACAUCCCCACAGGAUUUCUGACCAUCAGUAACAUGAAUUAGCUGGUGUGCACUCUGCUCUGUAACCCUGGAAUCUCCUUUCUACUCGGAGGGAACCAGAUGUACAGCAUGAAGAAGUAUGCCCUUUGGAAAUGUAAAUGAAUACAGUUAAGAGGCUACACCGCCCUUUAAAGGAGUUCUUCUGAUCUCUUAGGAGCUUUACAUUUUGAAGAACAUGGAUGGAUGAGAAACUUGAUGUGGAUUAGAGAAGGACUCCUUCUGUCACCCAGGCUGAGGUGCAAUGGCCUGAUCACAGUUCACUGCAGCCUUGAAUUCUUAGACUCAAGCUACUCAUCCACCUCAGCCUCCCAAGUAGCUGGGACUACAGGCUCACACCACCUCACCUGGGGUCUGGCUCUGUUGCCCGGUCUGGAGUGUGAUGGCAAAAUCAUGGUUCACUGCAACCACUACCUCUCAGGCUCAAGGGGUCCUCCCACCUCAGCCUUCCUAGUAGCUGGGACCACAGGUGUAUGCCACCACACCCAGGAAUGGUGAUGGUAUUCUUUUAUCCACUUUGAGAGAAACUUUGAGAAUGUGAACAGCCACAAAUUUAGAAGUUUCUUUUUUUGCUUUGCUAUAUACAUGGACAAUAAUCCUGUACCUUGCCUGUGAUCUUCCAGAACACAGAUUGGGUUUGUUAUCAGUUAUAUUGAUGGGUUGUCCUCAGAUGGUUGAAGACUGAGGCUGCAGGGAUGAUUGAAAUCUGUAGGCGGAAGAGACAACUGCAAUUCCUGGAGGUGUUAGAACUCUGCAGUGUUUUGGAGGUCUGGUGCUGCCAUUUAUAUUUCUCUUCCCUGGAACUCUUUCUUCAUAACAGAUUUUGAACUAAAAAUAAAGAAAAUCUCCCA